UGUAGAUUCAGGUACAGGACCACUAAUUGACAAUAUUGUUUAAAAAUGUAAAGAUAAAAAAAAAAACCAUGUUGUUACAAUUUUAAACUGGUAUCAAUAUCACAAACUGUGGUCAGAAACAGAUAUAGCAAAUGGUACUUCUCUAUGCAUACAUUCACUAUGAGGAUCAACAUCCCUCAUUUGGGAAUCUGCUUUCUCUUGCAUCUCCAAUGCAAGCUCUAACAUUAGCUCUACUUCACCCAUCUCAGGCCGUGUAUCUCCGUUCUCACUGAUACAGGAAUAAGCGAUAUCCACGAAUAUUUUCAAACACUCUGGAGCUAUCUUCCUCUUCAGAUGUGGGUCGAUUAUAUUAUAAAUGGUUCCUUUGUCUAUACACUGACAGACCCAACCAAGUAGAUAUUGUUCAUUCUCAUCCAAUAUUGGAUCAACCACCUUUCUACCACACAAAACUUCAAAUAAAACAACUCCAAAUGAGUACACAUCACUUUUUUCUGAAACUCCAUAACCUUUGAGACACUCAGGAUCCACAUAACCCUUAGUACCCGCCAAUGGUGAAUUAAUUUUUUUCAAAACUUUUGACGUGUUAGAGUAUGAAGGUUGUGGACGCAUCUUGGAGAACGUGAAACUAGAAAGCUUACUAACCCAUUUGUCAUCCAAAAGAAUAUUGCUGCUAUUGACGUCACGGUGAAUUACGGCAUGCUUUGCUCCGGUAUGAAGGUAAUGUAAUCCACGAGCUGCACCAAUACAUAUCUCUAGCCUCUGCUUCCAUGGCAGUGGAUCAUAAUUAGAACCAUAGAGAUGAUCACGGAGUGACCUGUUUUUCAUGAGUUCGUAUACAAGGAUCAACUCAUCCUUAUCAUUGCAGAACCCCAUAAGAGACACGAGAUGUUGGUGGCGCAGCUGGCAGAGCAAUUGCACUUCGGUUCGGAACUCACUGAGUGCAUCUCCUACUGAAUCUGGAAAGAAGCGUUUCACAGCAAUAAAGUUUCCAUCAUCAACAAUCCCUUUGAACACGCUUCCAAAAAAACCUUGAGCAAUAAGAGAUUUUGGAUGAAAAUUGCUGGUAGCAGCUUUGAUCUCGGUUAGAGAAAAUUGACGCUGACGGAUUUCCUCAGGAAGAGCUGCUGGAUAUCUUUUCCUAGCAUGCUUUUCAUUUCCCUUACUUACUGUUCCAUUGCCUGCUGUUUUGGUAAAGACUUUGAAGCACCUUGGAAGAAAAUGUGAAGGGUUUCCCAUGGGGGGAAGAAGUGAAGGAGAAAUGAGCAAGUCCGGAUCUGGAUUGAUAUUUGUGGUGUUAUCUCAUCAAGGAGAAGUCUUGCUUGACUUUGCUUUUGUCAUUCACGUACUUAAACCAUAGUUAAAGACUUUGGCUUCAAGAUCAUCACCGUCAAGAAAUCUAAACUUAAAAUGUCAAAAAACCCCCAUCGUAGAAGACAUGGAAUGACCCUAAUUUAAGUAUACAUUUCCAUACUUAGGCUCUUAGGCCUUUCUCUGUUCUCCAGCCGCCCGUCUUUCCUGGGAGCAGGUUAAGCCUUUUGUAAUUGUACAGGAACUUUACCACUUAUGCUUGAGUUUUAUGUCAAUAAAGUCUUUGACAUCAUAGUCUAAGACUUUGGUUGGGCAUGCUUGCUUUGGUUCGAAUAAAUAACAACCACUUUUUACAAAAUAAAAAAACGUAUACAUUUUCAUGGUCCAAUUAAAUAUAUAAUUUACACAUAAAAAAAUAUGGUAUGAUUCUGUUUAAACAUGAAAUUUCACAUAGUAAUAUUCACCAUUGAUCUUUCUUAAGACUCACGUCAAAACAUGAAUUUUAUUCAUAGUGUUCUACAUUUAUAAAAAUACAAAAAUCGAGUACUUAAUAAGUAUUAUUAGAAAAAUUGUUAAUGUAAUUUUUAUUUUGAAUUAAAUAAAUAUGAUAUUGUGAAUAACGAAUUUUCAAAAUUAUUUUUUAUUGUGUAAUCUAAAUUAAAGUAGUAUUAAUAAAUUUGAUGGUCUACAUGUAAAACAUUGCUUGAUUAUUCCGGAGUUGGAUUUUUAACAGCCUGACUCGGUUUUGGAUUUUGGCAGCACGUGUUUGGUGAAGCCAAAUUUACAAUUGCCACUAAUUUACAAUACUAUUUAAAAACGUAAAGAUUAAAAAAAAAAACUAUUUCGUUACAAUUUUAAACUGGUAUGAAUAUCACAAACUGUGAUCAGAAACAGGUAUAGAAAAUGAUACUUCUCUAUACAUACAUUCAUUAUGAGGAUCAACAUCCCUCAUUUGGGAAUCUAUUUUUUCUUGCAUCUCCAAUGCAAGCUCUAACAUGAGCUCCACUUCACCCAUCUCAGGCCGUGUAUCUCCCUUCUCACUGAUACAGCAAUAAGCGAUAUCCACGAAUAUUUUGAAACACUCUGGAGCUAUCUUCCUCUUCAGAUGUGGGUCGAUUAUAUCAUACAUGGUUCCUUUGCCUAUACACUGACGGACCCAAUCAGGUAGAUGUAUUUCAGACUGGUUUAAUGUUGGAUCAACCACC
Molecule: long non-coding RNA, 2513 nt
Filed under: Theobroma cacao (cacao)
Lineage: Eukaryota; Viridiplantae; Streptophyta; Magnoliopsida; Malvales; Malvaceae
Description: long non-coding RNA (TCAC_LNC005727)
Source: RNAcentral